AUGCAAAUUUUCCUGAAAAACAACUUGGAAUUGGAAUUUGACAUGAGGAUGACAAGCGAAACACAACAUCCUGGCAGGUUUAAGGAUGGGAUCAGUGGGAAGAGCAUGCACCACUCAUGUUCUGGGCUUAAUGUCACCAUGGACAAAAGAACUCCCUUAGAGGCUCCUACCCAUUCAGCAGAGCUUGCCAAGAAAUGCAGCAAUAUUACAGAAUAAAUCAUGAGUGUAUUUGGUCAUUGCUUUUCUGCAGUACCUUGAAUGAACCUUUGGAAAAAUUAAUCACUGUGAUAGGUUAAUAUUUGUAUAGAUUUUUUUUUUCUUUUCUUUUCUUUUUUUUUCUUUUCUUUUCUUUUCUUUUCUUUUCUUUUCUUUUCUUUUCUUUUCUUUUCUUUUCUUUUCUUUUCUUUUUUUUUUCUCUGUGAUCGUAUCAAAUGCUUUGGAAUGAUUUAGAGUGGAACAAACUAACUAAUUACGAUGUUCUGAUGCUUGUGUCGUUGUUUUCCCUCCAAAAAGUGACGUCUCUUCCUGGAAAAUGGAUGCCAUUAAAGUCACCUUUAUUUAUAUAGUGCUUUAAACAAAACAGAUUGUGUCAAAGCAACUGAACAACAUUAAUUAGGAAAACAGUGUGUCAAUAAUGCAAAAAGGAAUAGUACACUCAAAAAUGAAAAACUGCUGAAAGCGUGUUCACCCUCAGGCCAUCUGAUAUGUAGAUGAGUUUGUUUCUUCAUGGGAACAGAUUUGGAGAAAUUUAGUAUUACAUUUCUUGCUCACCAAUGGAACCUCUGCAGUGAAUGGUUGCUGUCAGAAUGAGAGUCCAAACAGCUGAUAAAAACAUCACAAUAAUCCACGAGUACCUUGCUUGAUCUGUACAUAUUUCUCUCCUGAUUCAAUGUAAUGAUAAAUUUCACCAAAUUUGUUCUGAUUAAGAAACAAAUUUUUAAAUUUUCAGCAACUUUUUUUUUUCCUUUAAUGAACUAAAAUGAUUUUAUGAAAUUCAAAGAUGAUGGAAAGUGCAUAUUAAUCUUUACAUUAAUGAAAAACUAUAUUCCCUUGCUUUGUUUGAAAUAUUUUGAUUGAAUAAAGGAAAAAUGAGACAGAGAGACAUCUGUAUGAGUGUUCAUUUUAUACAGGUGUCUUCAUUUAGCAAGCAUAAUUUGUCCUUGGAAAUCUGCCCACGAAAUGGAUUACUUCAUAAUGGGGCACAUUUGGUCCACUAGAGCACAAAGUGAGCACGAACCACGAGACAUAAUUAUGGAAGAUGCAUUUUUGUUCUUUUCUUUUCAUGAAAGCAUAUUUACAGCUUGUUUGAUUUAGGUUAGAAAUCAUGUGCAUUUAUGCUUUUCAAAAUGCUUUUCAUAAUGAAAAAUUUUUCAAUUAUUUAUGUAUUUAUUGCCCGCUGAAAUAAAAGGUCUGGCUGGUAUGUCAUAGCCUAUGUCUUAUUUGGCAUACAAAAAAAAAAAUAACUAAAUAAAAAUAGACAAAAAAAAAGUGUGAAUGUCUUUGCAUUUUUGUGGCUACUGUUGCUUCAAAUGUGUCAGUUAAUUCAAAUACUAAAUAAAGAGGGACACUGUUGAUUAUCCAUAUCUACUUCUGUGUUUAUAUGCCCACAAUAUGAGCAAACACCUAUUAAAUGUCUGAAAUAUUGACUCUUAAUAUUAAUUUAUUAAGCUUAAUAUUUAAUGGUCAAAAUAAUUAUGCUUUUUUAAAAAUGUUGAUGAGGAGCAGUAAUCAAUUAAAAAAGAAAUAAGCAUUGAUGAUGUUUUAUAUAUGUGUGUGUGUGUGUGUGUGUGUGUGUGUGUGUGUGUGUGUGUGUGUGUAAAGCUGUUUUGUGUUGUAUGUUGCUUCAUUUCUUUGAUAAAUCUGAGGUUUUACAGGGGCAUUUAUAAUGUAUCUCCAGCAUUGCUAUUUUGUGCUUUGGGUCUGUAGGAGAGACUUGAGGAGAGCUGCUGAGAGGUGUUUUGGCCUCAAGGACCCAUGAUGCAAAUGUGUUCCAUGGAGGCGUCAUAAAUAUGUCAUCUUUGUGCAUGCAUAGAAUAAAUAUGCUCAGGGCGAGUAAUCGCAGCUGUUAGUAAAGGUAAUUGUCUCCAGCUUGUUUCUUCUUACUCAUCAUUUUAUUAGAUUAGCCUUAGUGUGAGGGUGAUGGGUUAUGUAAAUGAAGUUAACUUUAGUUCAGAUUAUUACAGUAUUUUACAGAUUUAAAAUGAGCAAAAAUGAGUACCACAGAAAACCUUUGACUCUUUUUUUCUUAAACGUUACAUUUACAGUUUUUUUUUUUUUUUGCAUAAAAAAAUGCACAAUAUUUAUAGCUACAAGUAUAGUCACAAGACCAAAACUUUAUACAUAAUAAUGUGAGAGUAAUGUGAGAAAAUAUUCAUUAUUUAUUCAUUCAUACUAUUCUUUCUUUCUUUCUUUCUUUCUUUCUUUAUUUCUUUAUUUCUUUCUUUCUUUCUUUCUUUCUUUCUUUCUUUCUUUCUUUCUUUCUUUCACUCAUUUAAUAAUAAUAAUAAUAAUAAUAAUAAUAAUAGUAAUAAUAAUAAUAAUAAGUAUUUAUUAGGAAGUUCCUUGUUCCUUUAAUUAAAUUUGUCUUAUUAAAAUAAAUAAAUAAAUAAACAAAUCUUAAUCUCAACAGAAAACAGCAACAACAACAUUGUGUACAGGUUUCCUUAGUUUGUACUUCUGAAAGGCAAUUCAACAGUGCCUUCUUAUUCCAGAUGAGUUGCCAAGUCGGAUUUGUUUUGUCCUGAAUCACAUUUUCUCUCUCUCUCUCUCUCUCUCUCUCUUCUUUACAUAAAAUAAUCCCACAAUUCACAGUAAAUUGUACUUGCUUACUCAACCACUCAAGGCUCACUGAAGCAUACUUAUUUGCAAAUGCCUGCAAGGACAAGCUCUCAUUGCACUUGGUUAACUUUUAACACCUCCACUGAAACAGUGAAUGAUAUGACCUUCAGGUGAGCAGUCGAGUACACUUAGUCCACGUCCUCCAAUUUCGGCCCCCUUUCGACACACAUCGUAGAAAAAGGUGUUCAGAUCAUUCUCCGUGAUAAUGGAGAGAAGUCUCUCAUUCAGAGGUCAUCACAGG
Molecule: long non-coding RNA, 3079 nt
Organism: Cyprinus carpio carpio
Lineage: Eukaryota; Metazoa; Chordata; Actinopteri; Cypriniformes; Cyprinidae
Source: Ensembl